ACUCAAAUGAAUUGACGGGGGACCGCACAAGCAGCGGAGCGUGUGGUUUAAUUCGAGGCUACACGAAGAACCUUACCUGGGUUUGACAUCGCAUCGAACACUGUAUGAAAGUAUGGUGGUCCCGCAAGGGACGGUGUGACAGGUGCUGCAUGGCUGUCGUCAGCUCGUGCCGUGAGGUGUUCGGUUAAGUCCGCAAACGAGCGCAACCCUCGGUGCCAGUUACAAGUGUCUGGCGCGACUGCCCGUGGCAAACGGGAGGAAGGUGGGGAUGACGUCAAGUCAGCAUGGCCUUUAUAUCCAGGGCUACACACACGCUACAAUGGCGCGUACAAUGGGUCGCGAAGCCGCGAGGCGGAGCCAAUCCUCAAAAGCGCGUCUCAGUUCAGAUUGCAGGCUGCAACCCGCCUGCAUGAAGUUGGAGUUGCUAGUAACCGCGCGUCAGCAGAGUGCGGUGAAUACGUUCCCGGUCCUUGCACACACCGCCCGU
This 487-nucleotide ribosomal RNA is filed under the name uncultured bacterium. RNAcentral describes it as "partial 16S ribosomal RNA". It matches the Rfam family "Bacterial small subunit ribosomal RNA", at positions 899 to 1397 of the family's 1533-position model. The record is from RNAcentral.